UUACCGCUUUGACAUUCGGGAGACUAGUUCGCUAACAGGUGCUGCAUGGCUGUCGUCAGCUCGUGUCGUGAGAUGUUGGGUUAAGUCCCGCAACGAGCGCAACCCCGUCUUAGUUGCCAUCAUAUGGGACUCUAAGAAACUGCCGGUGAUAACCGGAGGAAGGUGGGGAUGACGUCAAGUCCUCAUGGCCCUUACAGCGGGCUACACACGUGCUACAAUGGGUGACAUGGGGCACUGCGAGGGUAGCAAUCUCCAAAACGUCUCAGUUCGGAUUGUUCUCUGCAACUCGAGAGCAUGAAGGCGGAAUCGCUAGUAAUCGCGAUCAGCAUGCGCGGUGAAUACGUUCCCAGGCCUUGUACACACCGCCCGUCACACCAUGGGAUUUGGUUACCGAA
This 395-nucleotide ribosomal RNA is filed under the name uncultured bacterium. RNAcentral's name for it is "bacterial SSU rRNA". It matches the Rfam family "Bacterial small subunit ribosomal RNA", at positions 971 to 1425 of the family's 1533-position model. The record is from RNAcentral.